Long non-coding RNA from Megalobrama amblycephala (Wuchang bream), 490 nucleotides. RefSeq lists it as uncharacterized. NCBI's taxonomy places the organism in Eukaryota, Metazoa, Chordata, Actinopteri, Cypriniformes, Xenocyprididae. The transcript has 4 exons. The record is from RefSeq and is a predicted model, not a curated record.
UAUGGACUCAGACACAGGUGUGCAAUUUUAACUCCAUCAGAGCCUUAAAAGUUAGAUUUUUAUGAAUUAUCAUAUAUCCACCUUUUUCCUGACGAGCCUACUGUGUUUUGAAUUAUGGGUGACACUUCCGGUUUGGUGUUUUGUGACUCGGGUCCUUGACGUCCUGUUAAAGACUCGUUAUUUGAAGCUUUCUCUAAUUAAUCAGCUGCUGCGAGACGAGCUCUGGGAUAAUGAGGGUUUGUAUUAGUCAUUAGUCACUAAUAAUGGCAUCAUCAUCAUCACUAAUGGGCAAAGCGUCACACUCACAGCAGGGGAUGUGAUGACCAAUUAAACCACUGAAUCUACACAAUACAGCCACCAGCAAGAUCCGAGUAUUUCGUUCCAUCAGGCUGAAGAUAUUCCAAGACGUUCCCUGUGCUUUUACAAAACCUGAAACUUCCACGACGACAUCUGAUCUUUGUAAUCCAAGCAGUCUGAGUUGAAGUUCAGC